RNAcentral lists this ribosomal RNA (487 nucleotides) under uncultured bacterium. RNAcentral's name for it is "bacterial SSU rRNA". It matches the Rfam family "Bacterial small subunit ribosomal RNA", at positions 28 to 526 of the family's 1533-position model. The record is from RNAcentral.
GACGAACGCUGGCGGCGUGCUUAACACAUGCAAGUCGAACGGUGAAACAGGAGCUUGCUCCUGUGGAUCAGUGGCGAACGGGUGAGUAACACGUGAGCAAUCUGCCCCGAACUCUGGGAUAAGCGUUGGAAACGACGUCUAAUACCGGAUACGACGCGCGAAGGCAUCUUCUGCGCGUGGAAAGAACUUCGGUUCGGGAUGAGCUCGCGGCCUAUCAGCUAGUUGGUGAGGUAACGGCCCACCAAGGCGACGACGGGUAGCCGGCCUGAGAGGGUGACCGGCCACACUGGGACUGAGACACGGCCCAGACUCCUACGGGAGGCAGCAGUGGGGAAUAUUGCACAAUGGGCGAAAGCCUGAUGCAGCAACGCCGCGUGAGGGAUGACGGCCUUCGGGUUGUAAACCUCUUUUAGUAGGGAAGAAGCGAAAGUGACGGUACCUGCAGAAAAAGCACCGGCUAACUACGUGCCAGCCGCCGCCGUAACAC